AUACGGAGGGUGCAAGCGUUAAUCGGAAUUACAGGGCGUAAAGCGCGCGUAGGCGGCUUGAUAAGUCGGAUGUGAAAUCCCCGGGCUUAACCUGGGAAUUGCAUUCGAUACUGUCAGGCUAGAGUGUGGUAGAGGGAAGUGGAAUUUCCGGUGUAGCGGUGAAAUGCGUAGAUAUCGAAAAGAACAUCAGUGGCGAAGGCGGCUUCCUGGAUCAACACUGACGCUGAGGUGCGAAAGCGUGGGGAGCAAACAGGAUUAGAAACCCUAGUAGUCC
This 274-nucleotide ribosomal RNA is filed under the name uncultured bacterium. RNAcentral describes it as "partial 16S ribosomal RNA". It matches the Rfam family "Bacterial small subunit ribosomal RNA", at positions 523 to 796 of the family's 1533-position model. The record is from RNAcentral.